UGGGGAAUAUUGGACAAUGGGGGCAACCCUGAUCCAGCGAUGCCGCGUGAGUGAAGAAGGCCUUCGGGUUGUAAAGCUCUUUUGUAGGGGAGGAAGUGCGUGCGUGAAUAACGCAAGGCAUUGACGUUACCCUAAGAAUAAGCACCGGCUAACUCUGUGCCAGCAGCCGCGGUAAUACAGAGGGUGCGAGCGUUAAUCGGAAUGACUGGGCGUAAAGGGUGCGUAGGUGGUUUGUUAAGUUAGCUGUGAAAGCCCCGGGCUUAACCUGGGAACGGCAGCUAAAACUGAUGAACUUGAGUAGGUGAGAGGAGUGUGGAAUUUCCGGUGUAGCGGUGAAAUGCGUAGAGAUCGGAAAGAACACCAGUGGCGAAGGCGGCACUCUGGCACCAUACUGACACUGAGGCACGAAGGCGUGGGGAGCAAACAGG
This 428-nucleotide ribosomal RNA is filed under the name uncultured bacterium. Its description in RNAcentral is "bacterial SSU rRNA". It matches the Rfam family "Bacterial small subunit ribosomal RNA", at positions 355 to 776 of the family's 1533-position model. The record is from RNAcentral.